GCCUGGGUGGCUCAGUUGGUUGAGCGUCUGACUUUGGCUCAGGUCAUGAUCUCAUGGUUCGUGGGUUUGAGCCCCGCGUUGGGCU
RNAcentral lists this transfer RNA (85 nucleotides) under Felis catus (domestic cat). It matches the Rfam family "tRNA". From Rfam's summary of the family: Transfer RNA (tRNA) molecules are approximately 80 nucleotides in length. Their secondary structure includes four short double-helical elements and three loops (D, anti-codon, and T loops). Lineage: Eukaryota; Metazoa; Chordata; Mammalia; Carnivora; Felidae. The record is from Rfam by way of RNAcentral.